RNAcentral lists this ribosomal RNA (458 nucleotides) under uncultured bacterium. Its description in RNAcentral is "partial 16S ribosomal RNA". It matches the Rfam family "Bacterial small subunit ribosomal RNA", at positions 338 to 795 of the family's 1533-position model. The record is from RNAcentral.
CCUACGGGAGACAGCAGUGAGGAAUAUUGGUCAAUGGGCGAGAGCCUGAACCAGCCAAGUCGCGUGAGGGAGUACUGCCCUAUGGGUUGUAAACCUCUUUUGUCGGGGAGCAAAAGCCGGACGUGUCCGGCUGUGAGAGUACCCGAAGAAAAAGCAUCGGCUAACUCCGUGCCAGCAGCCGCGGUAAUACGGAGGAUGCGAGCGUUAUCCGGAUUUAUUGGGUUUAAAGGGUGCGCAGGCGGAUUUUUAAGUCAGCGGUCAAAUCGUGGGGCUCAACCCCAUCCAGCCGUUGAAACUGUUUUUCUUGAGUACCGGAGAGGUCAUCGGAAUUCCUUGUGUAGCGGUGAAAUGCGUAGAUAUAAGGAAGAACACCAGUGGCGAAGGCGGAUGACUGGACGGCAACUGACGGUGAGGCGCGAAAGCGUGGGGAGCAAACAGGAUUAGAUACCCCGGUAGUC